This is a long non-coding RNA of Branchiostoma floridae (Florida lancelet), 175 nucleotides long. RefSeq lists it as uncharacterized. Lineage: Eukaryota; Metazoa; Chordata; Leptocardii; Amphioxiformes; Branchiostomatidae. The transcript is spliced from 3 exons. The record is from RefSeq and is a predicted model, not a curated record.
CGAAGCUAUCCAGACUGCGGACCCGAGUCUCCACAGCAUAAAACUCAGCGCCACCCUGGUCGACAUCAUCCUCACUUCGGUUUACCAGAAUUUAGCUGACAAGGAAUCUUUCUUCACAGCAACCAUCAUGACAGCCCGUCAGAAAACUCCCUGUCCACAGCCAAUGCCAGCCUAU